RNAcentral lists this long non-coding RNA (632 nucleotides) under Rattus norvegicus (Norway rat). Its description in RNAcentral is "long non-coding RNA NONRATT020331". Lineage: Eukaryota; Metazoa; Chordata; Mammalia; Rodentia; Muridae. The record is from RNAcentral.
GCACGCAGAGUCUUGAGGUCCAAAGCCCCUCUUCCUGCAAAAUGGUUAUCCUGGUGGCAUUGCUCUAAAUAGAAGGACUUAGGUAGGGUAAACAGGAGGAUUGUGAGCAAGCCUUAAGGUUUCUGAUCACUAGAAAAGCAGAUCUUUUAAGAGGGUUUACCAGGAACCUCAGCCUUUAACCUUUCCUGCAAAGGUCAGCUACCACAGGCAUGGGCAUCUAGUUCCUGCUCAGUCCUGAUGGCCUGUAUCAGCUCAAGUCCCCACCCCGAUGACUGUCAUAUCUGCUUGGUUUCCCACCAUUUUGCUUUUCUCUCUACCUUGGCAGUUUGAGCCCCAGUGAAUCUUUCUUUCUGCCCAUAGACCAGUCUAGUUCAGUAAUUUCUCUGCCCCGAGUCUCAGGUAUUAAUCUGCGAGGACGGCCUCCAUCUGGGGACUUUUUUCUGUUCUCAGUGAAGUGGCACAUUCAGUUCCUGGUGCAGCGUCCGUUCGUUUCUUUUAGUCAUUUCACAGCUGUUUGCUGGGAGGAGCAAGACUGAACUACUUGGGGCUGAUUUCACAAGGAAGCUGAAAACAAGGCCUUCCCAGUUCCCGUUUGUGAUUUUCAAGUCAAUAAAGCAUGUCUGUCUUGGUGG